Molecule: ribosomal RNA, 433 nt
Filed under: uncultured bacterium
Lineage: Bacteria
Description: partial 16S ribosomal RNA
Rfam family: Bacterial small subunit ribosomal RNA
Source: RNAcentral
AACGGACGCUGGCGGCAUGCCUAACACAUGCAAGUCGAACGAGACCUUCGGGUCUCGUGGCGCACGGGUGCGUAACGCGUGGGAACCUGCCCUUAGGUUCGGAAUAACUCCCCGAAAGGGGUGCUACUACCGGAUAAUGUCUUCGGACCCAAGAUUUAUCGCCUUUGGAUGGGCCCGCGUUGGAUUAGCUAGUUGGUAGGGUAAAAGCCUACCAAGGCGACGAUCCAUAGCUGGUCUGAGAGGAUGAUCAGCCACACUGGGACUGAGACCCGGCCCAGACUCCUACGGGAAGAAGCAGUGGGGAAUAAUGGACAAUGGGCGAAAGCCUGAGCCAGCAAUGCCGCGUGAGUGAUGAAGGCCUUAGGGUUGUAAAGCUCUUUUACCCGGGAUGAUAAUGACAGUACCGGGAGAAUAAGCUCCGGCUAACUCCGUG